UUAAACUAACCCAAUUCACGAACUUGAGCCUCCAAUUUUAAGAUCUGGGUAUUCCAAAGUUUCAAUUGAUGUUGUUGCUGACUCAUCCAUUUUGGAACAUCUUCAAUUGACACUUAAGAUCGGCUCCUCACUGUUAACUCUUCUGUCAAUUUUGCCACCUCAACUUGUAAAACUUUGAUUUUGGACCUCAACUUCUUCAUUUUGCAUCUGGAUUGGUCAGUCAAUGCCUCUUUCUCUUUCGUCAAUAACUCUGCCUUGUCUCCUUCUGCCUGCAAUUGGCAUUUGAAUUUUUCCUGUUCCAAAUCCCAUAUCUUGUAAUUUUAGAUCAAUUUGUCUCGUUGUCCUUUCGCAAUCCAUAAGAUGUAUUCUUUUUCUUUUGUCCAAGACUCAUAUUGGUGAAUCCAUUUCCGCUCCAAUACCAGCUUGGAUUCUCCAAUUUCUUUUAUCGUCCGUUCUUGUUCUUCAAUUAUUCGAUUUUGCUCUGAUAUCACCUUCUUACUGUCCUCUAAAUCUCGUUUGCUAAUGCCCUCUUUGUCCAUACUUCUCUUUGCACUUUCAAUUACCAUGAUGCUCCCUCUCUCAAACUCUUAAUUGGAACUACUACGCUUGAAUAUCUAAGAAACACAAGAAAUGGCACUCCAA
RNAcentral lists this long non-coding RNA (642 nucleotides) under Physcomitrium patens. RNAcentral describes it as "long non-coding RNA (PPAT_LNC012691)". Lineage: Eukaryota; Viridiplantae; Streptophyta; Bryopsida; Funariales; Funariaceae. The record is from RNAcentral.